Molecule: long non-coding RNA, 1652 nt
Organism: Oncorhynchus tshawytscha (Chinook salmon)
Lineage: Eukaryota; Metazoa; Chordata; Actinopteri; Salmoniformes; Salmonidae
Source: Ensembl
CUUUACUUUUGUUUUCUUAAAAGUGAAAUGUUUUCAGGUUCUUCAUCGAUACAGUGCCUUCAGAAAGUACAGUAGUCAUAACCUUUGACCCUGAAAUCAAAAUGGAUUCAAUUUAUAUAUUUUUUUAUCUCACCCAUCUACACACAAAACUCCAUAAUGACAAAGUGAAAAUGUGUUUAGAAAUUUUAGCAAACGUGUUGAAAAAGAAAUGAGCUGAAAUAUCUCAUGUAUUCACACCUUAAACACAAGAUCAAAUCUACACUAGAGUUGCGACCAAGACAGUGGAUGUUCCUGACUAGAUAGUUUAGUUUAGACUUACAUCUACUUGAACAUCUAUGGAAAGACCUAUAAUAAAAAAAAUGGCUGUCUAGCAAUGAUCAACAACCAAUUUGCCAGAGCGUGAAUAAUUCUCACCCAUCUACACACAAUACCCCAUAAUGACAAAGUGAAAACCUUAAUGGUCAAUACUUUGUAUAAGCACCUUUGGCAGUGAUUAAAGCUGCUAGGCUUUCUGGGUAAAUCUCUUAAGAGCUUUCCACACCUGGAUUGUGCAACAUUUGCCCAUUUAUUCUUUUCAAAAUUCUUCAAGCUCUGUCAAAUUGGUUGUUGAUCAUUGCUACUCAACUAUUUUCAGGUCUUGACAUAGAUUGUGAAGUAGAUUUAGGUCAGCAGUAACUCGGCCACUCAGGAACAUUCACGGUCUUCUUGGUAAGCAACUCCAGUGUAGAUUUUGGCCUUGUGUUUUAGGUUUAUUGUCCUGAUGAAAGGUGAACUCCUCUCCCAGUGUCUGGUGGAAAGCAGACUGAACCAGGUUUUCCUCUAGAAUUCUUCCUGUGUUUAGCUCCAGUCUGUUUAUUUUUUUAUCCUGAAAAACUCCCCAGUCCUUAACAAUUACAAGCAUACCCAUAACAUGAUGCAGCCACCACUAUGCUUGAAAAUAUGGAGAGUGGUACUCAGUAAUGUGUUGUAUUGGAUUUGCCCCAAACGUAACACUUUGUAUUCAGGACAAAAAGUUAAUUUCUUUGCCACAUUUUUGCAGUGUUACUUUAGUGCCUUGUUGCAAACAAGAUGCAUGCUUUGGAAUAUUGUGUGUUGGACAGUGUCAAACACAAUGAAUUUAAUCCAUUUUAAAUUCAGGCUGUAACACAACAAAAUGUGGACAAAGUCCAGGGGUCCUUCCUGAAGUAUUCCACACAAAUAUAGAUCUAAUAUCAUUGGGUAUCAGAUGAUUUCUGCUCGAAUCUCACUGGACAGCAGAAACGCUGCCUUUCUGCCUCCUCCCAGUGCAAACGGACGAUACAGCAACAUCUUCGGGUCACUUCCCCUCUGCAAAGAAUCCAGAUUCAAACAGAACAGAAACACCUUGAAUAUGUAGGGAACCUUUUACCUCUCAACUAAAAACCUUCUGUCUGUCAGAAACAUCCUCUGACCACAGCCCUGCCUCUCCUGUUUCCCCACAUCUACAACCUUCUGCCUGUCAGCAACAUCCUCUGACCACAGCCCUGCCUCUCCUGUUUCCCCACAUCUAAAACCUUCUGUCUGUCAGCAACAUCCUCUGACCACAGCCCUGCCUCUCCUGUUUCCACACAUCUACAACCUUCUGUCUGUCAGCAACAUCCCUGACCACAGCCCUGCCUCUCCUGUUUCCACAC